RNAcentral lists this transfer RNA (74 nucleotides) under Nitrososphaerota archaeon. Its description in RNAcentral is "Thaumarchaeota archaeon tRNA-Pro". It matches the Rfam family "tRNA". Rfam says of the family: Transfer RNA (tRNA) molecules are approximately 80 nucleotides in length. Their secondary structure includes four short double-helical elements and three loops (D, anti-codon, and T loops). RNAcentral also lists the same sequence under 2 other names. The record is from RNAcentral. Lineage: Archaea; Thermoproteati; Nitrososphaerota.
GGGAUCGUGGUCUAGCAUGGUAUGAUUCGGGUUUUGGGUACCUGAGGUCGUCGGUUCAAAUCCGGCCGAUCCCA